GACGAACGCUGGCGGCGUGCCUAACACAUGCAAGUCGAACGGAAAGGCCCUGCUUUUGCGGGGUGCUCGAGUGGCGAACGGGUGUGAAACACGUGAGUAUCCUGCGCUUGACUGUGGGAUAUCUUCAGGAAACUGGGGCUAAUACCGGAUAGGAGCUCCUGCUGCAUGGUGGGGGUUGGAAAGUUUCGGCGGUUGGGGCUGGACUGGCGGCUAACCAGCUUGUUGGUGGGGUAGUGGCUUACCAAGGCUUUGACGGGUAGGCGGCCUGAGAGGGGGGACGGCGACAUUGGGACUGAGGUACGGCCCAGACGCGUACGGGAGGCAGCAGUGGGGAGUAUUGCACAGUGGGCGGGAGCCUGAUGCAGCGGCGCCGCGUGCGGGAUGACGGCCUUCGGGUUGUAAACCGCUUUCGGCUGUGACGAAGCGUGAGUGACGGUAAUGGGUAAAGAAGCACCGGCUAACUACGUG
This 468-nucleotide ribosomal RNA is filed under the name uncultured bacterium. RNAcentral's name for it is "partial 16S ribosomal RNA". It matches the Rfam family "Bacterial small subunit ribosomal RNA", at positions 28 to 507 of the family's 1533-position model. The record is from RNAcentral.